This 318-nucleotide ribosomal RNA is filed under the name uncultured bacterium. RNAcentral describes it as "bacterial SSU rRNA". It matches the Rfam family "Bacterial small subunit ribosomal RNA", at positions 29 to 334 of the family's 1533-position model. The record is from RNAcentral.
AGCGAACGUUAGCGGCGGGCCUAAUACAUGCAAGUCGAACGCGAACACCUUCGGGUUAGUAGAGUGGCGCACGGGUGAGUAACACGUAGGUAAUCUCCCCUCUGGCGGGGGACAACGUUUCGAAAGGAACGCUAAUACCGCGUAAGACCACAGUUUCUGCGGAAGCAGUGGGAAAAGGUGGCCUCUCCAUGGAAGCUACCGCCAGAGGAUGAGCCUGCGCCCCAUCAGCUAGUUGGUAAGGUAACGGCUUACCAUGGCGAAGACGGGUAGCUGGUCUGAGAGGAUGAUCAGCCACACUGGCACUGGAACACGGGCCAG